UAAGGGCGCACGGUGGAUGCCUUGGCACUAGAAGCCGAUGAAGGACGUUACUAACGACGAUAUGCUUUGGGGAGCUGUAAGUAAGCUUUGAUCCAGAGAUUUCCGAAUGGGGAAACCCAGCAUGAGUUAUGUCAUGUUAUCGAUAUGUGAAUACAUAGCAUAUCAGAAGGCACACCCGGAGAACUGAAACAUCUUAGUACCCGGAGGAAGAGAAAGAAAAUUCGAUUCCCUUAGUAGCGGCGAGCGAAACGGGAAGAGCCCAAACCAACAAGCUUGCUUGUUGGGGUUGUAGGACACUCUAUACGGAGUUACAAAGGACGACAUUAGACGAAUCAUCUGGAAAGAUGAAUCAAAGAAGGUAAUAAUCCUGUAGUCGAAAAUGUUGUCUCUCUUGAGUGGAUCCUGAGUACGACGGAGCACGUGAAAUUCCGUCGGAAUCUGGGAGGACCAUCUCCUAAGGCUAAAUACUCUCUAGUGACCGAUAGUGAACCAGUACCGUGAGGGAAAGGUGAAAAGCACCCCGGAAGGGGAGUGAAAUAGAACCUGAAACCGUGUGCUUACAAGUAGUCAGAGCCCGUUAAUGGGUGAUGGCGUGCCUUUUGUAGAAUGAACCGGCGAGUUACGAUUUGAUGCAAGGUUAAGCAGUAAAUGUGGAGCCGUAGCGAAAGCGAGUCUGAAUAGGGCGUUUAGUAUUUGGUCGUAGACCCGAAACCAGGUGAUCUACCCUUGGUCAGGUUGAAGUUCAGGUAACACUGAAUGGAGGACCGAACCGACUUACGUUGAAAAGUGAGCGGAUGAACUGAGGGUAGCGGAGAAAUUCCAAUCGAACCUGGAGAUAGCUGGUUCUCUCCGAAAUAGCUUUAGGGCUAGCCUCAAGUGAUGAUUAUUGGAGGUAGAGCACUGUUUGGACGAGGGGCCCCUCUCGGGUUACCGAAUUCAGACAAACUCCGAAUGCCAAUUAAUUUAACUUGGGAGUCAGAACAUGGGUGAUAAGGUCCGUGUUCGAAAGGGAAACAGCCCAGACCACCAGCUAAGGUCCCAAAAUAUAUGUUAAGUGGAAAAGGAUGUGGCGUUGCCCAGACAACUAGGAUGUUGGCUUAGAAGCAGCCAUCAUUUAAAGAGUGCGUAAUAGCUCACUAGUCGAGUGACACUGCGCCGAAAAUGUACCGGGGCUAAACAUAUUACCGAAGCUGUGGAUUGUCCUUUGGACAAUGGUAGGAGAGCGUUCUAAGGGCGUUGAAGCAUGAUCGUAAGGACAUGUGGAGCGCUUAGAAGUGAGAAUGCCGGUGUGAGUAGCGAAAGACGGGUGAGAAUCCCGUCCACCGAUUGACUAAGGUUUCCAGAGGAAGGCUCGUCCGCUCUGGGUUAGUCGGGUCCUAAGCUGAGGCCGACAGGCGUAGGCGAUGGAUAACAGGUUGAUAUUCCUGUACCACCUAUAAUCGUUUUAAUCGAUGGGGGGACGCAGUAGGAUAGGCGAAGCGUGCGAUUGGAUUGCACGUCUAAGCAGUAAGGCUGAGUAUUAGGCAAAUCCGGUACUCGUUAAGGCUGAG
This 1550-nucleotide ribosomal RNA is filed under the name Staphylococcus aureus. Its description in RNAcentral is "partial 23S ribosomal RNA". It matches the Rfam family "Bacterial large subunit ribosomal RNA", at positions 12 to 1560 of the family's 2925-position model. The record is from RNAcentral. Lineage: Bacteria; Bacillati; Bacillota; Bacilli; Caryophanales; Staphylococcaceae.